UUUUAACUUUUUCCAUGUACAUAAAAUACUACUCAUUUACAAAAAUGUUAUAUUGUUUAGAGUUUCAACGUUUCAUAAUAUUUCAUCGCGCAACACAUAUUUUCAUGUUUGAUAAUUUGAGGUCAGGUAGUCGUCUAUUUGUGAAGUGCUUUUUCUCCUCAAAAAUAAUUGUUUCUUAUAAACAAUCCUUCAUAUAGGCAUCAGUAUGAAACUUAAUAAGGGAUAAUUGAAUUUAUGAAACAAUCGUGUGUGUUUUUUACAGUUCGAGGUAGAGUGAUUCCGGAAAAAACUCAUAUUGCUGAGCCUGUUGUGGAUUCGAAAACGGGUUCGAAGGUCUCCACAUAUGUGAAACCAUCAGUGCCGAAUUCUGCUGAAGCCAAGAUAGAAGCUGACAGCUCUGUUGAUGCUAAUUGCAUAACAAGUCACCCAAAGGCAAGCAGCCGGCCAGGAAGAAGGCAAGAACAGAGCAGCAAUCAUACUCUGCUGUGAAGCCUUAUGAGAGGUUUCAAAUUAUAAACUCUCAGGUGCAGGAGUUGGCGGCGUCGUAUGUUAAGCUGACCCUCGUCGCCGUCCAUGAACCGGCCCCGGACCUCCACACGGUCUUCAGUAUUCCAAAGAAGACCGCCGCGUCGGCCCUGGUCGACUUUCUGAAAAUCCCAGGACCAUCAGACGCUGCACCUGCCCCCGAACCCGUUGUACAAGGGCCGGCACAGAUGCCAUAAAGGCGCUUCCGUCUGUUAUCGGGGUGCAUUUUACCGCAACUGACCACUAAGCGUCAUGAGAGCUAUACUCGGCCAGAAAUAGUAGG
Molecule: long non-coding RNA, 808 nt
Organism: Dreissena polymorpha
Lineage: Eukaryota; Metazoa; Mollusca; Bivalvia; Myida; Dreissenidae
Exons: 3
Source: RefSeq, a predicted model, not a curated record